RNAcentral lists this microRNA (22 nucleotides) under Petromyzon marinus (sea lamprey). RNAcentral's name for it is "pma-miR-25b-3p". Its record names the gene pma-miR-25b-3p. Lineage: Eukaryota; Metazoa; Chordata; Hyperoartia; Petromyzontiformes; Petromyzontidae. The record is from miRBase by way of RNAcentral.
CAUUGCACUAGUCUCAGUCUGC